This 793-nucleotide ribosomal RNA is filed under the name uncultured archaeon. RNAcentral's name for it is "bacterial SSU rRNA". It matches the Rfam family "Archaeal small subunit ribosomal RNA", at positions 85 to 879 of the family's 1478-position model. The record is from RNAcentral.
ACUGCUCAGUAACACGUGGACAACCUGCCCUUAGGUUGGGUAUAAACCCGGGAAACUGGGUAUAAUACCCGAUAGGUCUCGAUUGCUGGAAUGCAUCGAGAUUUAAAGCUCCGGCGCCUAAGGAUGGGUCUGCGGCCUAUCAGGUAGUAGUGGGUGUAGCGUACCUACUAGCCUACGACGGGUACGGGUUGUGAGAGCAAGAGCCCGGAGAUGGAUUCUGAGACACGAAUCCAGGCCCUACGGGGUGCAGCAGGCGCGAAAACUUUACAAUGCUGGCAGCAGCGAUAAGGGAACCUCGAGUGCCAGGUUACAAAUCUGGCUGUCGAGAUGCCUAAAAAGCAUUUCAUAGCAAGGGCCGGGCAAGACCGGUGCCAGCCGCCGCGGUAACACCGGCGGCUCGAGUGGUAACCGUUAUUAUUGGGUCUAAAGGGUCUGUAGCCGGCCGGAUAAGUCUCUUGAGAAAUCUGGCAGCUUAACUGUCAGGCUUUCAGGAGAUACUGUCUGGCUCGAGGCCGGGAGAGGUGAGAGGUACUUCAGGGGUAGGGGUGAAAUCUUGUAAUCCUUGAAGGACCACCAGUGGCGAAGGCGUCUCACCAGAACGGACCUGACGGCAAGGGACGAAAGCUAGGGGCACGAACCGGAUUAGAUACCCGGGUAGUCCUAGCCGUAAACGAUACUCGCUAGGUGUCGGCCACGGUGCGACCGUUGUCGGUGCCGUAGGGAAGCCGUGAAGCGAGCCACCUGGGAAGUACGGCCGCAAGGCUGAAACUUAAAGGAAUUGGCGGGGGAGCAC